This is a long non-coding RNA of Mercurialis annua (annual mercury), 751 nucleotides long. RefSeq lists it as uncharacterized. The record is from RefSeq and is a predicted model, not a curated record. NCBI's taxonomy places the organism in Eukaryota, Viridiplantae, Streptophyta, Magnoliopsida, Malpighiales, Euphorbiaceae. The transcript is spliced from 2 exons.
GUUUCUGCUAGUUCGGCUUCUAUGUGGCUCAAAUAAAUCAGAAUAUUAUGUCGCGCAUAGCAGUUCUGAAAUUUAGGACAGCCCUAAGUUAUUAACUUCGGGGCCAAAUUCCGACACCUUCGGGUGCUAAUCUUAGUCCGAGACCUGAACAAAAGUUGUAGAAGACAUUCUGAACUUUAAGAAUGUCAAUUUUGUUUAAAGGUCGGACUGUUUUAAGUAAACGGUUUCAAUAGCCGAAGUUGGUUAGAAACCUAGUUUUGGAUUAAUUAAUUAUAGUUAGAGUGUAAUUAAUUCGAGCUAUUAUCGAAUUUGUGUAGACUUGACGAGGCGACUACCAAUGGAACCCGGAACUUACAGAACGCGACAUCGCUUAGCUAGUAUCAGAGAUUAUAGAUAGCAAGCGUGUGUUUUUCAGGUACCUAGAUUCUGAACUUGGCUAAAAGUCCGUCUUUGACCGGAAGUCCCUUUGGCUAUAUGCAGUCCCGACUUCCAUAAUCGCUGCAGUAGUGUAAUGUCUGACUAGUGUCCUAGCCUAGUACAUUAAUAUGUUUUUACAUUGUUUAUAGUUGCUGUCAGUAUGUAUAUAUUUGUUUGGCCACGAUAGUUAUGCUUUGUACCACGGAGGUAGAUUCCCGUGAUGUAACUUUGACACUAGUAGUAUAUGCCGGGUUAGUACGUACAAGGUACGAAAACGAUAGACCCCAGCAAGUUGUAAUGUUUUACCAGUGUAUAUAAAUGUGUCUUUGUUAAA